GAAGCGCGCCAGACCGCCGCUGGUGCAAUCUGGGAAACCAGGCACUGGAGGAACGUCCGGACUGCACAGGACAGCGUAGCAGCUAACGGCUGCCCACCGUGAGGUGAGGAUCAGAGCAACAGAGACGAGUCGGGAGUGCCGCAAGGCAGACCACUGGGGGUGAAACGGGCAAUCUCUACGCGCAGCAAUACCAAGUAGGCCAGCGUUGAUGUGGUUCCGCAGAGCUGGCGGGUAGGUAGCAUCGAGCCGGGUGGGCGACCCCCGGCCCAGAGUAAUGGCGGUCACGCUGCGGGCAACCGCAGUGCACAGAAUCCGGCUUAUCGGCGCGCUUCACAC
This 336-nucleotide RNase P RNA is filed under the name Burkholderiaceae bacterium. Its description in RNAcentral is "RNase P RNA component class A". It matches the Rfam family "Bacterial RNase P class A". Rfam says of the family: Ribonuclease P (RNase P) is a ubiquitous endoribonuclease, found in archaea, bacteria and eukarya as well as chloroplasts and mitochondria. Its best characterised activity is the generation of mature 5'-ends of tRNAs by cleaving the 5'-leader elements of precursor-tRNAs. Lineage: Bacteria; Pseudomonadati; Pseudomonadota; Betaproteobacteria; Burkholderiales; Burkholderiaceae. The record is from RNAcentral.